RNAcentral lists this ribosomal RNA (433 nucleotides) under uncultured bacterium. Its description in RNAcentral is "partial 16S ribosomal RNA". It matches the Rfam family "Bacterial small subunit ribosomal RNA", at positions 29 to 507 of the family's 1533-position model. The record is from RNAcentral.
AACGAACGCUGGCGGCAUGCCUAACACAUGCAAGUCGAACGAGACCUUCGGGUCUAGUGGCGCACGGGUGCGUAACGCGUGGGAACCUGCCCUUAGGUUCGGAAUAACUCCCCGAAAGGGGUGCUAAUACCGGAUAAUGUCUUCGGACCAAAGAUUUAUCGCCUUUGGAUGGGCCCGCGUUGGAUUAGCUAGUUGGUAGGGUAAAAGCCUACCAAGGCGACGAUCCAUAGCUGGUCUGAGAGGAUGAUCAGCCACACUGGGAAUGAGACACGGCCCAGACUCCUACGGGAGGCAGCAGUGGGGAAUAUUGGACAAUGGGCGAAAGCCUGAUCCAGCAAUGCCGCGUGAGUGAUGAAGGCCUUAGGGUUGUAAAGCUCUUUUACCCGGGAUGAUAAUGACAGUACCGGGAGAAUAAGCUCCGGCUAACUCCGUG